Molecule: ribosomal RNA, 254 nt
Filed under: uncultured bacterium
Lineage: Bacteria
Description: partial 16S ribosomal RNA
Rfam family: Bacterial small subunit ribosomal RNA
Source: RNAcentral
UACGGGGGGGGGCAAGCGUUGUUCGGAAUUACUGGGCGUAAAGGGCUCGUAGGUGGCCAACUAAGUCAGACGUGAAAUCCCUCAGCUUAACUGGGGAACUGCGUCUGAUACUGGAUGGCUUGAGUUUGGGAGAGGGAUGCGGAAUUCCAGGUGUAGCGGUGAAAUGCGUAGAUAUCUGGAGGAACACCGGUGGCGAAGGCGGCAUCCUGGACCAAUACUGACACUGAGGAGCGAAAGCCAGGGGAGCAAACGGG